GUCCAGGGAUUUAAAUCGAACCACAGUGCUCCGCUUACCGGGCAGAUGCCAUGUCCACUAAGCUACCCUGGA
This is a non-coding RNA of Cordylochernes scorpioides, 72 nucleotides long. The record is from the annotation of a GenBank genome assembly. NCBI's taxonomy places the organism in Eukaryota, Metazoa, Arthropoda, Arachnida, Pseudoscorpiones, Chernetidae.